RNAcentral lists this ribosomal RNA (433 nucleotides) under Eurhynchiadelphus eustegia. RNAcentral's name for it is "eukaryotic LSU rRNA". The stretch from base 1 to 125 matches the Rfam family "5.8S ribosomal RNA", at positions 29 to 154 of the family's 154-position model. The record is from RNAcentral. Lineage: Eukaryota; Viridiplantae; Streptophyta; Bryopsida; Hypnales; Brachytheciaceae.
UGCAUCGAUGAAGAACGCAGCGAAAUGCGAUACGUAGUGUGAAUUGCAGAAUUCCGCGAAUCAUCGAGUCUUUGAACGCAAGUUGCGCCCGAGGCUUGUCCGAGGGCAUUUCCGCUAGAGCGUCACCGCGCCCCCCACCGAUCCACUCUCGCCGCGAGGCGCCUGUCGGUUCGAGUGCAAGUGGCCGUCCCGGUGAAGUGGCCUUCUUUCACGAGGAGGCUAAGUUACGGGUCGGCUGAAAUGGAUGGAAUUGGGCCGCCGUGGUGACACAGUCCGCGAUCGGGUGAUUUUGUCGCGAGCCUCCUGAGGUUCUUGGUGAAUUUUUCUAAGUGCUUGGCUGCGUCCCCCAGUUGGCUMGGGUUACCUCAUGCAGGUCGAGCGCGCCCCCCGCGGCGCGCGUCACGCAUCAGACCUCUAAUCGGAAAAGACUACC